AGUGAACGCUGGCGGCAUGCCUAACACAUGCAAGUCGAACGGCAGCACAGUAAGAGCUUGUUCCUACUGUUGGCGGGUGGCGGACGGGUGAGGAAUGUAUCGGCAUCUUCUUUUUCGUGGAGGAUAACGUGGGGUAAUUUCUGAUAAUACCUCAUACUUUCAACGGGGUACUGCAGAGGAUCUUUGGGCCUUGCGCGUUUGUAUUAGCCGAUGUCGGAUUAGCUAGUUGGUGGGGUAAAGGCCCACCAAGGCGACGAUCCGUAGCUGGGCUGAGCGGAUGAUCAGCCACACCGGAACUGAGACACGGUCCAGACUCCUAAGGGAGGCAGCAGGGGGGAAUAUUGGACAAUGGGCGAAAGCCUGAUCCAGCCAUACCGCGUGGGUGAAGAAGGCCUUCGGGUUGUAAAACCGUUUUUGGGGGGAAGAAAAGCAGGAGGUUAAAACCCGGAUGUUCUGACGGUACCCAAAGAAAAAGCACCGGCUAACUUCGUG
Molecule: ribosomal RNA, 492 nt
Filed under: uncultured bacterium
Lineage: Bacteria
Description: partial 16S ribosomal RNA
Rfam family: Bacterial small subunit ribosomal RNA
Source: RNAcentral